Non-coding RNA from Canis lupus familiaris (dog), 89 nucleotides. Lineage: Eukaryota; Metazoa; Chordata; Mammalia; Carnivora; Canidae. The record is from Rfam.
GGGGUGAGGCCGGAUCCUGGGCUGUGUACUGGCGCCCUGUGCUCCGGAGUCUGUGCUGUUGGAUUCGCGCUCCUGCCCCGCAGCCCCCC